AUGAUUGUCAUCUCCCCCUUUUCUUGCGAUGAAUUUUUCAAGCAAAGUUUAGUUCACCGUUUCCUUCCCGGUACCACAGGAACAACAACAUGGUAUGCCCGUCCAAUCCCACAUAACCCACGUAUCUCGCAUGAGCACAACCAGCAUGAUGGAGCAUCAACACACAGCGCGACCAAAAGCCACCUCUCAACCAAGCAAGAACCACCGAGCAGCAUAUCAAGCAAACAUGUAGGGCCCAGCGCCAAGCAUUUUAUGGCCAAAGUCCAUGUGACUCACAUUAACCAGGAAGCAAAUAAUAAGCAGGUCAGUAAUAUGGUCUGUAAUAAAGGAUCUGCUUACUCACGGUACAUCAUUAUGAUUCAAAUACAUGAUCACAAAGUUUCAGACACAAGGAAACACACCUCAUGA
RNAcentral lists this ribosomal RNA (408 nucleotides) under Triticum aestivum (bread wheat). RNAcentral's name for it is "partial small subunit ribosomal RNA". The record is from RNAcentral. Lineage: Eukaryota; Viridiplantae; Streptophyta; Magnoliopsida; Poales; Poaceae.